Molecule: ribosomal RNA, 468 nt
Filed under: uncultured bacterium
Lineage: Bacteria
Description: partial 16S ribosomal RNA
Rfam family: Bacterial small subunit ribosomal RNA
Source: RNAcentral
GACGAACGCUGGCGGCGUGCUUAACACAUGCAAGUCGAACGGUGAAGCUCCAGCUUGCUGGAGUGGAUCAGUGGCGAACGGGUGAGUAACACGUGAGCAACCUGCCCCUGACCCUGGAAUAAGCGCUGGAAACGGCGUCUAAUACUGGAUACGAGAAGGGUCCGCAUGGGCACUUUCUGGAAAGUUUUUCGGUUGGGGAUGGGCUCGCGGCCUAUCAGCUUGUUGGUGAGGUAAUGGCUCACCAAGGCGACGACGGGUAGCCGGCCUGAGAGGGCGACCGGCCACACUGGGACUGAGACACGGCCCAGACUCCUACGGGGGGCAGCAGUGGGGAAUAUUGCACAAUGGGCGAAAGCCUGAUGCAGCGACGCCGCGUGAGGGAUGACGGCCUUCGGGUUGUAAACCUCUUUCAGCAGGGAAGAAGCGAAAGUGACGGUACCUGCAGAAGAAGCACCGGCUAACUACGUG